AUACACUACCACUAAUUUCGAGAUGUUCAAAAGAUAAUGCAUUCUGAAUAUAGAUACAUAGUCUUCCAUUGAAGGAAAAAAUAGGCACCUUUAAACAAUCAAGCUGUUUAACAGCACUGAUGUUCUGUCUCCUUCAGGCCGCCCAGUUUAACCUUGUCCCUGAAAAGAAAUCUUUCAGCACCGCGUGUAAUCCUAUACAGGUAAGAAAAUUUAAUAACUAUACAUAUAUUUCAAGAAGUAUGAACUACCUACCUUGUUUUUUGAAAUUCGAAUCAUAUGCCUAGGCAGAGGUCCCAACACCCUCUCCAUUAAAACCAGAUCAUCCAAGUUCUCAUCUAAGACUACUAACCGUAGGAGCUCCACUACUAUGACUAUACAACCAAUACUCCACUGAUCACAAGGAUAAUUCCAUCUCAGUCCUGAAACAAAUACGCAUGUUACAGAAUUUAGUCUUGGUACCAAAAAUGUUCCUCCUGAUGAGUGAUGAAGGCAUUACUGAAGAGAAUUGAAGCGUGUGACAGAAUCAAGAAGAGUAGGUCAGUCCAAGAACAAAUACAGCUCAAGAAUCUUGACAUUUCCUGUAAACCUGUAACCACAGAGAUGUUCAUCAACGUAUCUGGAUUCAAACUUCUUCUUCUUUGCUUUCCUUUCAGUGCGUCCAAAAUGGUGAUUUUGCCAUUCACGGACUAUGGCCUAAUAUGUGGGAUGUAAGCUAACCAUUACUGAUCCAAUCUCCUGCUUCCAUCCCAUAGGUUGGGCACAGGCGGUAAAUGGUGAAAUCACCCUUUGGGUAGAUGGGAUGCAUGGAAUAAUAAGUUGCACUCAGAUCUGAUACAAAUACAAAAUACAGAAGUUAGAACGAGGGGGAGUUGGAGAUUGAGACAAAAUGAGACUUGAGGUGAAAAUGAUUCAAAAAGUGUACACAUCACAUGCAGACUCAAACACAGUAUAUCAAAAAAAGACUUCAAAGUUCAAACAGCUGUGAAUCCAUAUAAUAUGUCUUCCUGCUUAUUAAAAUUAUGAAAGUGACUUGAAACUGUGAAUCCAAAUAUGUCAAUAAAGAUUAAUUACUGAUUUGAAAUGAGAUAAAAGUAACAUGUGGUUUGUUUGUUUUAUUACCAAAAACUAGUAUAUGGUUCUCAUUUCAGUCGCUUAUAGUAUUACAACCAAUGUGUAUUCUUUCUAUUAUCCCCCUUAGUGGAUUCCAUCAAAUAUGCCAACCACACAUUCAAUUACCCCUCACCUACUAAAGAGAUUGAAAUACAAUUCUAAUUCAUUUAUAUAGUAAUUUUUUACACCCCAUACGCAAAAAUGAGCAUUUGGUGGUUGUAAUUUAUAACUAUUCCCUCAACCUCUUGCCAAUCCCCAUCAAAUUAUCCAUUAACGUUUUCCUUUUCUUUUGAACUUCAAUUGUAUACUGAAUAAACAUGUCAAUGUUUAGGUCCUUAUACAAGAGCAUUAAUCAGUAUCCCUGUUUUUUUGUCUUCGAAAUCAUUGUGCACUCCAUUUGAUAACUAGCCCUCUCAGUCAACAAAAUAUAUCCCAACAGCAGUAGAUGUCCAAGUUUGACAGAACACCAUUUUUUACACCUUAGCAAGGUUCACAAGUCAGUCCUAUCUAAAUAUCCCAACAGAAUAUCCUAGAAUCCAUUUACUGAUUUGUUUGUAAAGACUAGUAAGGUUGCACAAGUUUGUUCACUGGAGAUGUAUACAUUAGAUGCAAUGCAACCAAGAUUAAUUAGAAGUAAAUACAACUCUCAAAAUCCAAAUUGUAACAAAACAUAUCAAGUAUGAAUCUUAUCAUAGCCACACAGCUUCAACAAGGAAAUUGAGGUGUGUGGUUAUCAAAGUUGUUAUUAUAGAAAGCUAGUCUUUUGAAGACCUAGUAAACUCAGUACACCCUUGUAACCCUGCUAAGAUUAACGUACCUGUAGCCAUUGCAGUAGAUAAACGUUUUCUAACUCAUUCUUCUUCGUUUUAGCUUUCAUUUCACUCACUCCAAAUUGGCGAUUUGAAAAUCCAUGGCUUAUGGCCCAAUAUGUGGGAUGGAAGCUAACCACUAUUCCAAUCUCCUGCUUCCAUCCCAUAGGUAAUAGGUUGGGUCCAGGCGAUGGAUUGUGAAAUCGUCACUUGGGUUGUUUGGAAUGCAUGGAAGAUCAGGUACAAAUAGAAGUAUUCCAAUGCAGGGCCAGUACUUCAAACGAGCAUGAGAGGAAGGGAAACUUUUCGACAAAAUGGGACCUGGAUGAAUAUGAAACAAAACAAGGAGGAGAAUGCACAGAGAGUCAAAUAAGAGUUGAAACUGUUAAUCCAAUAUGUCAAAAAAUAUUAAUUACUGAUUAUAAUAGAGAUAAAUGUAACAGGUGAUUUGUUUGUGACAGUACCUAAAUAAUUUUGUAUGUACAGUUUUGAUUCCAGUCUCAUCAGUUAAGUUUGAUCAAAGAAACCAAUCACAUUCAAGCAUUCAACCGCCACUCACUUAACAAAGAGAUUGAAUCACACAUUCAAACACCUCUCACCUCCUAAGGAGAUUGAGAUACUUUAGUGAUUCAUCACCAAUUUUUUUUUUGCCUAAUUUAAGUUUAAUCACUUUUUAUUUUUCUCAAAAUUUGACCUGUAUUUGUAUUUAUUAUGAUAUUGUUUAUAAUCGUGUAUGAUAUGCCAAUACAAUUAAAACCACCCAAUACCCAAUUGUAGAAAACAAAAUUAAUGCAAUUUUACUACUCUUCAAGAUCAAUUCCCUUCAUAUCAGAAAUUUCAUUAAAAUCUGGAAGGUAACUGUGAGUGAGAAAAAGAGUGAAUAAAAUGCAAGAUCACAUAAAUGGGAAACAUGUUAAUUGAUGAUGCAUACUUGUUUUCUUUGGAAGUCUGGAACCCAGAUUGAUUAGAAGCAAAUGAAACCCAGAAAGUAUCAAGUAUACAACAUGAAUCUUACCAUAGCUAGGCAUCUUACACAAAGAAGGGGUGUGUAGUGUGAUCACAGUUGUACUCUGCUAAGAUUAUCGUGCCUGUAUGGCCGAAUAUGUGGGAUGGAAGCCAAUCAUAUCACUAAUCCAUAUUUGGUCUACCCUUCCAUUCCGUAGGUUCGGCCAAACCGAUGCAAUGUGAAAUCCUCCUUUGGGUAGUACUAAGACUUCUUGCCUUCUUGGAUGAGAUGAGUAGUAGAUUCGUUCAAUCUUAUUAUAUAUAUAGUAAAAUUGCAACCACCACAUGCAGACUGCAGUAUAAAAUGUGUGAUUCAACCUCUUUGGUAUGGUAGGUGAGAAGUGCUUGAAAGUGUGAUUGACAUUUGAUAUCAUGGCAAUUCCACUACAAGGCAUGCACAUUGGUUGUGACUUGUGAGUAUGGAAUCAAAACUUACUGCACUCUCCUCAUUUAGUAAAUUUGUUAUUCAUUUUUUGGAUCGUGGAUUGGAAACAAGUUCUGGUAGCUAGCUUCAUUUUAAGUAUAAAAAAAAAGAAGAUUAAUGGCCACUAGUGAAAAAAGAAGUUCUGGUAGCUAGCUUCCAUUUCUGAUUUAUUAGUACUUUGCACUUAAUAUUGAUUAGGGGUGCAUCUUAAAAUAUGAGCUGAUCUCCCUUCAGGAGCUUAUAGUUUACACUACCCUCUUACACAAAAUAUAGACAUGGUCAGCACUUGUUUAUAUUGCAAACUGCAAUGGACUCCAACACACUUACAACAACCAUACACUACUAGGAAACUAACUAAAACCCUAUCUGAUCAAAAUCAAGGCUAAAAUGUCAGCUAACCUGCCCAAGUCUAUUUUUUUUUCAGUUUACACGACAUUACACAAAACUACUUUUACGCAACAUAUAAAUCUACUCUACUACCCAGUAUAAAAAAAAAACGAGCUCUAAGCCUCUAAGAUUGGCAAAAAGACGAGCACAAAUAAUAACAAUAACCCGUUUAGAGUUAAUAAACUUACCAGAAUCCGAUUGUACUCACAAUUCAACUGGUUACAGCCGCUUUUGUUCCUAAACUAGGACCCCUUGGUGAUCAUCUUCCUAUGACAUGAUCCAGCAUUUCACAAUUGAGAGAAGUAAAAAAAAUACACAGAUUAUCGAAAGAGUAAAAUAAGUCAGGAAGCAGUAACCAGUAAGCAUGACAUUCCAGUAAUGUGUAUGAGCAGAGCCCUACCACAACCAAUUUGGGAAAUUAUAAUAAUUCGUUUGGUUUUUAUGGUGUGCAGUGUGCAGAGAAGUGUACAGAGUACAGGCAAAUGCAUACUGUACUUUGGACUAAUGCAGGGAUAUUCUUUAAGUGUAUACUUUCAUUAACAAGUUAGACUCCUACAAUGUAUAUGCUAAAAUAAAAAAUACAUACAACUAGGAAGAAUUCAAUUGCAUAUCAUCAAUAACAUUAAGAGAUAGAAGAUGAGAAAUGAAAAAGAAUUAUAUGUACCUUCUAAUAUGGAGUUCUCGAAAACUGCUGUAUACAAUUAUACAAAAUCAAGAAGAAAACGAGUAUGUGAAAUUAUGAACACAAUACUUAACAAUACUUCACUUACCAAAAACAAAACUAAUGAAAUUUAUGCAAGCCAAGGAAUGUAUAUGCUAAAAUCAACCAAUCUGUCAGUACUCUAAUCUUCCACAAUUUAAAUUAGUAAAGUGAAAAAGGUUAAAUGAUUUGCGAUAAUUUUUUUGUUUCUUUUAAAUUAAAGGAAUUAAUGUGAUCAUGAUCUGAUUUAAUAUUUCUAUCAGGGCCAAUGUUCCUUAUUCAAUCAAACAAACCAAAGGAGUGACGGAGAUUGAGUUGCAAUUUUGACGAACUUGAUAAAUGGAGGCUGGUAAUGAAAUGGUGUGUAAUGUGUAAUGUCGUUGUGGUGGUUGCUCUGGAAGACUCAAUUCGAACUGUAAUUAGAGCCAGACAAUCUGAUCCUAGAAUCCAUUUACUGAUUGGUUGGUGAAGACUAGUAAGGUUGCACAAGUUUAUUCACUGGAGAUGCAUACACAUUAGAUGCAAUGCAACCAAGAUUAAUUACAAGUAAAUACAACUCUCAAAAUCUAAAUUUUAACAGAAAUGUAUCAAGUAUGAAUCUUGCCAUAGCCAUCAUCAACAAGGAUAUUGAGAAGGCGUGUGGUGAUCAAAGUUGUAAGUAAACUUUGUUAUUAUAAAAAGUAAAUCUUAGAAGACCUAGCAAACUCAGUACUGUAUACCCUGCUAAGAUUAACGUACCUGUAGCCAUAGCUGUAGAUAAACAUUUUUUGACUCAUUCUUCUUCGUCCCAGCUUUCAUAUCAUUGACUCCAAGUUGGCGGCCUGGAAGCUAAUCGCUAAUCACUAUUCCAACCUCCUGCUUCCAUCCCAUAGGUUGUUCGGAAUGCAUGAAAUAAUAAGUUGCGCUUCAGAUCAGGUUCAAAUAGAAGUACUCCAUUGCAGGGCUAGUAGUUUAAGCUAGCACGAGGGGAAGGGGAAGUUUUCGAUAAAACAAAAUCUGGACGAAAAUGAAACAAAACAAGAAGGAUAAAUGUACAGACUCAAAUACGAGUUGAAACUAUGAAUCCAAAUAUGUCAAAAAAAAAAAAUAUCAAUUACCGAUAAUAAUAGAGAUAAAAAGUAACAAGUGAUUUGUUUGUUAAAGACAUACAGUACCAAAAACUAUACAGAUAUAGUUUUGAUUCCAGACUCAUUAGUCAAAUACCAAACACAUUUAAGCACUUGAAGCAUUCAACUGGCAAUUUCACUGCUCUUCGAUGCAUACAUAGAGAGAUAAUUACAAUGAAAAACAUGUUAAUUGUUUAUGCAUAUUUGUUUUCUUGGAAAUUGAAUAUGAAGUGAGUGUAUGAGUGUGAUUGAUAUACACGAUUCUUGUUGUUGUUGUUCUUCUUCUUCUUCUUUUCUUUAGCUUUCACUUGGAUGAAUCCAAAUUAACGAUUUUCGUAUACAUGGAUGGAUCAUGGAAUGGACUAGGGUGGUCAUCCACUGAUGACUGAUCCAUCCCAUUCCCAUAUACAAUACUAGGUUCGGCCAAAGCGAUGCAUAGUGAAAUCGUCCUUUGGGUAAGUACUGUUUCUGUUUGUAUUGGGAUCAACGAGGAGACGAAAGGAGACUUGUUUGAGUUCUUUUGGGGUUGAAAGUGAAAGUGAAUAAUAAAAACUUCUUGGAUACUACUAAAAGAAUCCACAGUUUUUUUGGACUUUGGUACCUAGGCUUCAAGCCCCUAGUGAAGAUUACUUGAAACUGUUUCUUCAGUGCAUCUUAUCUUAUUUCCCAGUUUUCUCUGUUAAAUAAAUAAAAGUAUGUACAGCAGAUUAUAUAUAUGUCAGGCCUCAUAUGUUUAUAGCUUCUGCUUCUGAUUCAUUAGUACUUUGCACUUAAUAGGAUCUUAAAAAACAUGAGCAGAUUUCCCUUCAGGAGUUUAUAGUCCUUAACUUCUGUCACUUGCUUAUCCCUGUUUUAUAAUCAGUCUUUCACUUGGUUAACAACCUAGAGACUGUCAAAUGACAGAUUUAGUACAUUACCACUAAACAAUGCAGUCUGAUACUAAAUUAGUAUUAAUGUACCAUCCAGCAACCAAUUCUCUAAGUAUAAAGCGUGCACAUUGUCUUCCCUUAAUGGGAAGAAUAGGCACCUUUAAACGGUCAAGCUGUUUCACAAUACUGAACUACUGAUGAUCUGUCUUGAAACAACUCCUUCAGACCGGCCAGUUUAUACUUUUCCCUGUAAGAUAUUUUUCAGCACCACAGGUGAAAAUUUUAAUAACUAUACAUAUAUUAUGGUAACUGGAAGUGGAAGCUGUCAUCACUUAACAUUAGAGUUUGAGACCACAAUAGGCAAUCAACACUUCGAAAGUACAACACUAUUAUGCAAUGUAACAGAAAUUGAACAUUGAACCGUACCGCCAGCAAUUCAAAUUGCAAAAUAUAUAGGAAAGAGAAGCCAAUCGGGCAGAUCAAAACGCAUAUUCAUGUGUAUUAAAAUUAGUUAUAGAUUUUCCCUCCUGCUUUUGCAGUAUAAGAAAUCCAAAUCCACAGCAAAUCAAAUUGCAAAGCACAUCAAAAUUAGAAGCAAAAAGUGCAGAUCAAAUCACGAUACAAUUCCGGAUUAGACUACAAUAGUAUUAUGGUACCCAAGCAAUAUUUCAAACAGUAUGAACUACCUACCUCGCUUUUCGAAUCAUAUGCCUAGGGAGAGCUCCUAACACCCUCUCCAUCAAACCAGAUCAUCCAAGUUCUCAUGUUGGACUACUAACCGUACGGAGUUCCACAACAAUUGAGUAUAUAACCAACCCUCCACAGAUCAAAAGGAAUAUUUCAAGAAGCAUGAACUACCUACGUCGCUUUUCGAAUCAUAUGCCUAGACAGAGGUCCCAACACCCUCUCCAUCAAACCAGAUUAUCCAAGUUCUCGUGUUGGACUACUAACCGUACGGAGCUCCACGACUAUGAGUAUACAACCAACACUCCACA
This 7405-nucleotide long non-coding RNA is filed under the name Aquilegia coerulea. RNAcentral's name for it is "long non-coding RNA (ACOE_LNC000050)". Lineage: Eukaryota; Viridiplantae; Streptophyta; Magnoliopsida; Ranunculales; Ranunculaceae. The record is from RNAcentral.